GCCUGAUGCGGUGGUGCAAGCCUAGUCCCAGCUACUGGGGAGGCUGAGACAGGAGGAUCACCUGAGUCCAGGAGUUCUGGGCUGUAGUGCACUAUGCCAAUUGGGUGUCUGCACUAAGUUCGGCAUCAUAUGGUGACCUCCCAGGAGCCAGGGGUUGGGGGCACCAGGUUGCCUAAGGAGGGGUGAACCAGCCCAGGUGGGAAACGGAGCAGGUCAAAACUCCCAUGCUGAUCAGUAGUGGGAUCGUGCCUAUGAAUAGCCACUACAGUCCAGCCUGGGCAGCAUAGUGAGACCCAGUCUCUU
Molecule: non-coding RNA, 303 nt
Organism: Otolemur garnettii (small-eared galago)
Lineage: Eukaryota; Metazoa; Chordata; Mammalia; Primates; Galagidae
Source: Rfam